Molecule: ribosomal RNA, 148 nt
Filed under: Stromatinia cepivora
Lineage: Eukaryota; Fungi; Ascomycota; Leotiomycetes; Helotiales; Sclerotiniaceae
Description: Sclerotium cepivorum ribosomal internal transcribed spacer 1
Source: RNAcentral
CAGAGUUCAUGCCCGAAAGGGUAGACCUCCCACCCUUGUGUAUUAUUACUUUGUUGCUUUGGCGAGCUGCCUUUGGGGCCUCGUAUGCUCGCCAGAGAAUAUCAAAACUCUUUUUAUUAAUGUCGUCUGAGUACUAUAUAAUAGUUAA